CUUGGCAGCCUCCUUCCCGGACGUUUGUAGGAUCCACUUUGGAGGCAGAGAGGAAGGCAGGGAAGUACUAAACCCAAAUCUUGCUGUGGGAACUCUUAGGGCGCGUUCUGCUACUUGCUCCUAUGUUAGCGAAGCACUGCUCUCCGGCUCUCCUGAAAGACAACAUAAAAUCUCUCCAGACAGGCACCAGUUGUUGGACGAGGGUGGCUAAGGUGCCUGGUACGGAUUGCUAGCUAAAAGAGGCGUUUUAACCUUCUUCCCUACUCACACGAUCUCCAGCAUGUGGGGGAAGUCAGCAGCUGGAAGCCUCCACUGGCAACUGGCCCAUCAAAAUUCAUUAAGAACACCAAGAGAAAGGUCAAGUGAAGUGAAGCCGGGGCCUUCAAGCCACCUCCACUGUUCAUUCUGUGUUCAGGCCAGCCAAUGCAAACAACAUUUAUUCCUGCAGACUCCAAACAGUCUUGGAAGGAGCAAAGAAGCUGACAAUAUAGUACCGUAUACCAUCAACUACUUACUGCUCACCAGUUUAACGUACCGAAACACUUACUGCUCAGAACUGAUUGUUACUGUCUAAUCUGAAGGUCAGUAUUAGGAGAAAAAUUAUCACCUUUAGAAUGGAAAUAGAAAGACUGUACAGACAAGUUAUGAAGAAUACACAGAGGAGUUCUAGAAUUUUCACAGAAACACAGAUGUGCGUUGCCUUUCUCUCCCUUAAAAAAAAAAGAAAAAAAGAAAAAACCCCACUCUUUCCAAGGGAGUGUGAUAAAGAUACUUUAAAGAUGAUGUAUGAAUUCAAUCUGAAAUAGUACUACUGCUGGAAGAUUCGUGCAGGAGUGCACUGAAAUCACACAGAAAUGUGCACACAAUAGAAGACUGAUCUGAUAGACUUUUAAUUCUUUGUAAUGUCUUAAUGGUGCCAGUUAGAUUAACAGUGGACACCACUACUGAGGACUCACUAUGGAGCAUAUGUUGUGUUGAAUUAUGUUAAUUUUCACCGAAAUCCUAAAAGCACUGUACAGAUGUCGACCAGGGACAGAGAAGUUAGGUUAGCCAUGGGCCAGCAGCAAGCUGCUGUUGGGCAACAGCUGUCUCGGAUUUUUAGCAGUCAGAUUUAUCCAUGCGCAUUACAUACAGAGAGGUGAUUUCUUUCUUUUAGUUUUUUUUAAUUUAUAUAUGUUUGUGUCUAUGUGAAUGAAUGUCAUGUGUCUUGGUACCUAUAGAAACCAGAAGAGGUUGUCAGAUCCCCUGGAACUGGAGUUAAGCAGGCAGUUAAGAAGUUUGAACUGAACUCAGGUCCUCUGGAAGAAGAGUGAGCACUUUUAACCAUGAAGUCAAUCAAUCCAGCAUCUGAGUUCUUCCAUAACAUUCACUCUAGCACAAAUGCCUAGAUGCUAAUACAGCAGCUGUUCUCAGGAAUCCAAUGGUCAGUGUUACUAAAUUUCAUCAGGCAGGACCAUAAACCUGAGUAAUUUUAAAAUUGAUCAAAGGGCACAGAGGAUGAUUUCCUGAAAACAUACACCUGCUGGGAGCUGAGUGUGUGUCCCUAAGGUCAGACUUAAUUGCAGUUAGACCUAGAUGAACUCUGACACGUUGAUUAGUCACUGCUUGAAAGUGGGAGGUCAACAUGGUGCAUUUUCUUCCACCUCCAGAGUGGUUUUGAAAAGUCCCCAUUGAGGACUCUCUUUUAUGUAGAUCUCUGGUAUGUGAGUCCUGACCCCAUCCCCAGGGCAGAUCUUCUCACUGAGUGUACACCUGAAUCUUCUAGAAUCAGUGCAAUAAUGGAAGUGGAGAGCCCAACAAAGCCCCAAACAAUAUAUUGGAGACAUGUGGUCAAGAAUUCUCACAACUGUUUUCUUCUACGGAAUUUGUGGGAGGGGUGUAGGCCAUCUUCAGAACUGAUGGGAAUACUAAGAUAAAUAAAUUAAUGGAUCUGUAGAUUUUUGUUGUUGUUUUACCUCAUUAAUUCUCACAGUGGUGAGAAAACACUUGUGAGAGUCAGUUUUCUCUUUCCACCAUGUGGGGCCGGGGCUUGGACUCAGGCUGUCAGAAGUGGCCAUAGGGGCCUAUUACCUGCUGAGCCAUUUUGCUGGUACUGACACAAAUAUAGUUCUUAUACCCAUUUUAUUAAAUAAAUAAUCAAAGCAGAACAUGAAACAGAAAAAUAAUGAAAAUGUUUCUUUAAUAUCAUGCCAGAAAGUGUUAUUUAAAACCCAGUUCUGCCUGAUGCAGCCAGCAUUCUGAGAGGAUGGCCAAGCCAAGAUCGUACAAGUAGGUUAGACAUUAAGGGUACCCACUGGGAAGAUUUGUAUGCACAAAUUGGAUCCUAGGUUGAGAAGUGGAGAAAGGAAAGGAUGCAGUGUGCCUGACAUCUAAGAUUGUAGGAGGGCUAUGAUUUGGAUGGUGCAGGAGGCAUAAGAAAUCAAAUCAUUUUAGGGGUAGAAUAAGGUAGAAAGAGAAAUUCGAAGUAUUUGAGGGGAUGUUCUUUGAAUUUGGAGCUGGACCAGGUGAUGAAGCUAGACAUAAUCUGUGGAUAUGCAGCAGUAGGGAAACUAGGACCUGGAACACCAAAAACUAAAAUGGAGCCAGGGAAGUGGAGAGGGUAUAGUACUCUAGGAAUACUGGAAGAUUUUGUUCACGAAGGAAAUACAGCAAACUGACCUCUAAAACACAGCAAGCUAUAUGUCUCCUGUGUACAGUGAUGUCUUUGAUAGAAACAGUUCUUAGAUAACUUGAUUUCACUCCAUAGGCUUGUUAGAGCCUCUCUUAUUUGUUAAGUUUGUGUGUGAAUGAAUACUUUGCUUCCCAAGUACUGCUGCGUGUCCACAGCAGGUGUUGCUGGAUGCUCCAAGUUUUCACACUCUGAUUCUGAACUGGUGCAGCAUGGCAGGUCUGUCUGGCAGGAAACACAGCAUUAGCUUUGGGAUUCCAGUGAGGAUGAUGUAAAGUGAAUGGCCACUGUGUCAAGACUGGAAAAUGUAGGGUGGAAACGUGUUUUCAGGAUGGGAUGGAAUCAAUUAGAGAGACUAACACAGUGCAAGCCAAGUGUUGAUUGUAUUGAAUGAAAUGGAAAAAGACAAGCCUGUACUCUAAAAGGAAACAGAAUGGGAAAUGUGGACGAGAUCUUCAAAGAUAAUAGUUCCCAUUUGGCAACCUUCAUCUUUCCGGAUGCACUAAAUGUUUCACUUAGGCAUUACUGUGUAGCACAGCUCUGUGAGGAAUGGAAUGCUACCCUAGAUGAGGAUCUGGGCUAUCCAUUGCCUAUGUGCUUGGGACUGAAGGAUUCCUGGGACAGGCGACUUUGUGUGCUAAUAUGGAAGUAUCUCAGACAAAACAGGACGUUUCAGUCUCUGAGAGUCUCUAAGGGUCAUGAUGUUUUAAGUAAAGGAGAAAAACCCAAGGUUCUCUCAUGUUACUAUCUGUGUCUUCCCAGACACUGCCUCCCUUUUUACAGAUCCUAACCUUACCAAUACCAAUGUGUGUGCUUUCUAUAAACCUAAACAUGGAGAUGACUUCAUUUUCUCUUUCACUCUCUUGUUAUGUUUACAGCUAGUAUCUGUCUAUGACCUAGCAGACUGACAGCAUCUUUCAACACAGGAAACACAUUUUCAUGAUAAAGCCUUUUGCAUUUCAUUAUUUUGGUUAUAUUCUCAAUAGUGAGUGGUAGGAAAGAACUUCCAAACAGGUUGUGUAGAUAAGCAAAUAACAGAUAAAGAAAAUGAAGUGAAAAACUUAAGUCCAGGUGUUCUGUACAUAGGCCAAGCACAGUGAUAUUUGGGAACAUCUGGAGAAGUGAUUGAGAUUUUAAAUAUUCAUGUGUAUGUCCAGUGUCAUAUAAUCACAGGCCCAAGAACACAUGGAAAGAUGGGCAUAAUGGCAUUUCACUAACUAUGUAAUUGCCACAAGGAACCUUUUCAUAAUGCUAAUGUCUGUAGACAGAAUGAAGACUCACCUUGCUGGCCUUCACUGUAACAUCAAUUAUAUUUUACAGCACAUGGUUAUUCUGUUCCAAGACUAUAUUUUGACCCAGAUAACCAUGUAGAUAUUAUGGAUUUUGAAAACGUUUGCUUUAUAGCUUUAAUUUGUGUUGGCUAAAUGCAGUCAAAAAGAAUGAGGGAAUUUACUGGAUUCCCCAGGUUUUCUUAAGUAAACAAACCAAUAUUAUUGAAAAUGUGUGAAUCACAUAAUUCAAAAUUUUAAAUGAUGUCACAUUCUAACUAAAUAUAGUCUCUGUACUCAAUUCACCCUGCAAUCAGCACUCCACCCCCAUUUGCCUGUUGUGUGAAGCAGCUGCUUUAUCUACAUUUUGCCAAGUAAACAGACUCUGUGCACUGUGCAAUGGUGUUUGUUGUUUGCUAAUAUGCCAGUGGUUAAAAAUGCUUACAAACUGUAAUUAUACAUCUUCAUAUAAUGCAGAGGUAGUAUGUGGGUGUGCUUUAUUACUUGGAGAUACACACAUAUAAACUACACUUGUGUUUCAUCUGGUUCAUAGUAGUUAUUCAAUAAAUGUUUUGUAAAUGCCUUAAAAGCAGUGUGUAUUUGUCAAUGCCUUAAAAUGUACUAGAUGCUGAAGUAAGUGCAUUCAUGAUGGUUAAUCUCAGAUUUCAACUUGAUUAUCUCUAGAAUCACCUGGAAGAUGGGCACCAGAGCAUGCUUGUGGUAAAUUAACUUGAUUAGGUCACUUGAGAUGAAAAGAGUUGGCCACUGUGAAUACAGUACCUGGACUUGGACUGCAUAGGAGAGGUUGAGCUAUCUGGACACUAGCAUUCAUCGAUCUCUGCUUCCUGAUUAUGGAUGUAAUGUUACCACCUGUGUCCAGCUUCUGUUACCUGCCAUAUGGUUUAACCUCAAACCAAAAUAAACCAUUUCUCCCUUAACUUAUUUUUGUCAUGGUGUUUUAUCACAGCAUUAGUAAAAAACUUAAUAAAAGUAACUCUACUGAACCCAUAAAAUAACUAGUGAAGCAAUUUUUUUCUAUU
Molecule: long non-coding RNA, 4976 nt
Organism: Peromyscus californicus insignis
Lineage: Eukaryota; Metazoa; Chordata; Mammalia; Rodentia; Cricetidae
Exons: 3
Source: RefSeq, a predicted model, not a curated record